Molecule: ribosomal RNA, 391 nt
Filed under: uncultured bacterium
Lineage: Bacteria
Description: bacterial SSU rRNA
Rfam family: Bacterial small subunit ribosomal RNA
Source: RNAcentral
AGUGAACGCUGGCGGCAGGCCUAAUACAUGCAAGUCGAACGGCAGCACAGUGGAGCUUGCUCCAUGGGUGGCGAGUGGCGGACGGGUGAGGAAUACAUGGGAAUCUGCCCAGUCGUGGGGAUAACGUAUGGAAACGUACGCUAAUACCGCAUGCGCCCUUCGGGGGAAAGUCGGGGACCGCAAGGCCUGACGCGAUUGGAUGAGCCCAUGUUCGAUUAGCUAGUUGGCGGGUAACGGCCCACCAAGGCGACGAUCGAUAGCUGGUCUGAGAGGAUGAUCAGCCACACUGGAACUGAGACACGGUCCCAGACUCCUACGGGAGGCAGCAGUAGGGAAUAUUGGACAAUGGGCGCAAGCCUGAUCCAGCCAUGCCGCGUGAGUGAAGAAGGCC